Molecule: microRNA precursor, 58 nt
Filed under: Eisenia fetida (common brandling worm)
Lineage: Eukaryota; Metazoa; Annelida; Clitellata; Crassiclitellata; Lumbricidae
Description: Efe-Mir-10-P1_pre stem-loop
Source: RNAcentral
UACCCUGUAGAUCCGAAUUUGUGUUGACACUACGUACAAAUUCGUUUCUCGGGCGUAU